Molecule: small RNA, 104 nt
Filed under: Chryseobacterium vrystaatense
Lineage: Bacteria; Pseudomonadati; Bacteroidota; Flavobacteriia; Flavobacteriales; Weeksellaceae
Description: Flavo-1 RNA
Rfam family: Flavo-1 RNA
Source: RNAcentral
UUAUAGCCCCGAUUGCAGCGGCAUCCUUUUUCUGUUUGGCAUAUGAAAUAGGUAAGGUGUAGGAGUGGGUGGCGAAAAAGAUAGAGCGGAAAGCGGGAAAUAGC